Long non-coding RNA from Triticum dicoccoides, 2874 nucleotides. RefSeq lists it as uncharacterized. The record is from RefSeq and is a predicted model, not a curated record. NCBI's taxonomy places the organism in Eukaryota, Viridiplantae, Streptophyta, Magnoliopsida, Poales, Poaceae. The transcript has 2 exons.
CACCUAGCCACCAGUGCGCCAUGGGGGUCGCACCGCCGGCCAACGGGACGAAGCUGGAGGGGAUCCAAGCGAGGCGGUCGAUACAGAGGAUGCUUGCGACUCGGGAUACAAAGGAUGAGGCCGGUCUGCGUGGAUCGAGCUAAGGCGCCCGAGGGGACGAAGCUGAGGCGAGGCGCGUGAGGGGAUCCAGUCUGCGUCCGAGGGGGUGAAGCUGAGGCGGCGUGCGCGAGGAAUCCAGCGCGAGGGAAGGCGGUGCCCGGUAGAACCGACAUCCCUAGGCGAGCAGUCAUCGAAGAUGGUCGUCCUGCUCCCCCCCUCUUCACGCCGGAUAUUCCUUCACCUGUAGCGAUUCACUCGUAGAUUCAUCCUUCCCUUCGCACGACGUAGUUAUGACCCAGCUAGACCAGGACGCAUCAAUUCACAUCGUCCAUUCAUCUAUCUAGAUUUCUGCUGCUUGGCCAGGAGGAAUUAGACCAGGCAAGUCCAUGACGAAAGAACAAACAGGUUGUGAAUUAGAAUUAUUUACUGGCUCGAUAGCUUCCAGCAACACAUGAUUGGUUGAUCCUAGGAAGUCACAAACUAGGGCAUCGCCCUUGGUUGAUCGAGGAUCACUGAAAGGGGCAUUGUAUCAUCCGCAGCGACAACAGGGUCAUCGAUGUGCGCCCACAUCUGCCAGGCAACGGCCAACAGCAACCUGGGCACACUCCAAGGCUUCACAGGAAGCAAGUAUCCCAUCAUCUUAGUGUAUUUUUUAUUCAAUCUUUUAUUCUUCGUAAUUUCUGAUCUUCUCAAAUUGUCAAUUGAGUUUUCCUUUUAUUGUCCUUAAUUUACUGAUGUGUCUUAAGCAUUCCGUCAAACAUGAGCACUAAAUUACAUUGGUCAAUUUCCUUUGUUCUUGCAACAUAACUAAAUUAUUGGAGACAUUGUCGCUUGAAAGAUUAAUUUAUAAUUUUGUUGUCAUUACUUUAAAACUUCUUUGUCUUGAAAGCCCCUCCUCAGAUCCCUUAUAUCUGUUUUUGCAACUGUGCUGCUGCCAAUCUCUACUUUGUUAUUUGAUGAUUUGUGCAGCAGGGUAUGUCAGAAAAAAAAACAUUUUGAUCAUGUGACCUAUUACAUGUCUGAAUUUGUAGAUGAAGUCGAUGGUCUGGAGAACUUGAUAUUGAUUUAAUUAAAAUGUGAGGUUCCCAGCUCACUGAAUGCAUUCAUCCAUCUACACAAACUAUGGCCUCUAAUGAUUGCUGAGUAUCUUUGUUUUCUUGCGACUCUUUUUCCAUUUCAUAUUACCUAUUGCAAUUUAUUGUACUUAAUGUAUCCGAAUAGAGUUGAGCCAGUGCAAGUUAUGUGUAUUAGAGAUUAGCUCUUCUUGCCGAAAAUAUUUUGCCCAACUUUUUUGUUAUUGAAGGUGAUCACAAUCUUCUCAGAAUCUUUGAACCUUGGAGACGUAUACAGAUUCCGAGCAACAGCUAUUGGGUGGCGAUUGAAGCCGAUUCACCAUCGUUGAAACCAAUGAAGCAAUUCAUGGCAGCUAAUGUGAGCCACUUGCCGGUGCCAAUUAAUGGACGUACAUUAUUAUUCUGGCAACCUACACAUACUUGAGUUCAUGCGCUUAUAUAUAUGCUUUGUCACCUCAUGCUCUCACGUUCCCCUUCUUCUGGCAAUAGAAUCUCGAGCAGCGAUGUUUCGUGGCUAUUUUGCCCCUCUUAUCUUCCAGCUUUUUGCAGAAUUUGCCCUACAAUUUCAUCUUCCACUCAACUAUUCCGUCGAUCUCUUUUUGACCUUUACUUUUCAUGGGAAGUGUUCAUAUUGCUUAUUGUCUAUCGAUUUGGCGUAUUUUAGAGCUCCGUUCUCAUAUAUUGUUUGGAGUGUUCUUUAUCUGACAAUCUGCAAUGGUUCUCGGCCAGGUAAGGCUGUCAUACCUUGUCUCUUCAUGCUUCAGUAUCCAUGUAUUUAAAGGUUUUCAUCUCACAAUCUCUAGUGGAACUUAUUGAUAUGUAUGUGCAUCAACAUGACGUGGUACUAUUUGUUGCUGUAUGCAACACGUUACUUAGAAAUUAGAGUAUAGUCAAAUGGGCAGAAAAGAGAACUAGGUUGUUCUAUCCUUAAGCGAACAAAUACCAAAGCAUAUUCAUUUGGCAAACCUUCUGCAUAAUUAGUCACGUAAAUAGGAGCACCUUGUUUCAGAUGACAGCACUAUGGAACAUUUUUCUGCUGGAACGAAUAUGUGCAAAAGGAAUCCAGCUGGUUGAAACCAUGUGUUGCAGUGCAGGUGGUGUCUACUCACCAAAUCUUGUGGACAAACCUCCUGAUAUUGCAAACCUUAUGCGCUUUACUGGCGGCCGUGAAAGUCGUGAAUUUAUUGCCCAUUUUUUGUAUGUAUUAAACCUCUAUCAAAGAAACAAAUAGUCAAUCAACUCCACUAAUCUAUAUGAUCAAAUUUCAGCUUCCCUUUUCAUCUUUCCACGCUGCUUUCCAUGCGAUGCAGUUUGACUUUGAUUCGAAGUACUUGAUCCUGAAUGUAAACAUUGUUUUAGAUAGAAGACAUGUGAUGUAAGUUGCAUGGACAAGAUCUUUCUUUUGGCCUUUUCACAUUUGGCUUCUCAUUCCAAAAGCAGAGAGAAGAUCUUACUUCUUUGCAGGUGCAACUUAGUGGCCUGCAAGGGAAACUGCUUGAGAGAGAUGAAGCUGCGAGGUCAGUGGAUAGUUUGAUCGACCUGUGAUAAUAAUUCUUGAUGGGAAUAUGAAAUUAGCUAUUUCGGAAAACUGUAAUCGUGCUUGUUUGUUACACGUGUAUUGUAACAUCACCUGGAAACAUUUCCACAUUCCUUCUGUAUGUAUGAUAAAACUGUGGACUCAAUGUAGGUAAUCACUUCUUUA